CCUACGGGUGUCAGCAGUGGGGGAUAUUGCACAAUGGAGGAAACUCUGAUGCAGCGACGCCGCGUGAGGGCAGACGGUCUUCGGAUUGUAAACCUCUGUCUUUGGGGAAGAAAAUGACGGUACCCAAAGAGGAAGCUCCGGCUAACUACGUGCCAGCAGCCGCGGUAAUACGUAGGGAGAGAGAGUUGUCCGGAAUUCAUGUGUGUAAAGGUAGCGUAGGAGGGCGAGAAAGUUGAAGGUUAAAUAUACCGGCUUAACUGGUAGCUGCGUUCAAAACUUCUUGUCUUGAGUGAAGGAGAGGUAGGCGGAAUGCCUAGUGGAGCGGUGAAAUGCGUAGAUAUCGCGCAGAACCCCGAUGGCGAAGGCAGCGUACCGGCUCCACACUGACGCUGAGGCACGAAAGCGUGGGUAUCGAACAGGAUUAGAUACCCCAGUAGUC
Molecule: ribosomal RNA, 439 nt
Filed under: uncultured bacterium
Lineage: Bacteria
Description: partial 16S ribosomal RNA
Rfam family: Bacterial small subunit ribosomal RNA
Source: RNAcentral